CUGGCUUGGCGCCGUGGCGCGCGGAAGAGCUCGCAGCUGCCGGCUUGGCGAGAGGUCUAGUGCCCGCCGGAGCUCAUGUUGCCGCACGGGGCUCUGCCACUGCUCGCCCACCGCAGCUCGGUCGCACUGUGUGGGGAUCUGCCUUAGGCCUCCGCCAGACCUUGAGCCACCGUCGGAGCAGGUAAAAGGGAGGCGGGACGGGGCGGAGCGAAGCAACCUUCUGGUGUGCAGGGAGUCGAACACGACGCAGGGAGGAGGGAGGGUGGGAUGUGGCUGGGGGAGGUGGGGAGAAGAGCGAGAGAAGGGGAAGAGAGAGAAGAAGAGAGAGGAGGAAGGAAGGAAGUGGGGGUAAAUGAGUCUUUUGUAAACCCAGGUGCUAAAGUUUAGCCUAGUUUUCAAAAAAAAAAAGGGAGAUAAACUUUAGCCCUCCAUUUGAGCGGGCUAAACUGGGCUAAACUUCAGCCCUCCAUUUGAGGGGGCUAAAUUGGGCUAAAGUUUAGCCCUUGGUAUCCAAACAGGUGUCGAGGAUACAUCCCUAGUACCCGUAAGGAAGGAAGAAGUCGGACUCCUACUAGGAUUCCCCUGUAAUCCUACUAUGACUCAUCCCGUGUAAUCCUACUAGGAGUCCUCCUUGUAAUCCGACUAGUACUCUGCCCCUCGAGUAUAUAAAGGAGGGCAGGGGUACCUAGCUCGGAAGGUCACACCUCAACACCCAAGCGUAGGGCGCAAUAUACAAACACUCCUAAACAGGACGUAGGGUAUUACGCUACUCUAGCGGCCCGAACCUAUCUAAAUCCGUAUCUCGUGUCCUCGCUUUUACCUUCAAGUUCCAGAUCCG
RNAcentral lists this long non-coding RNA (838 nucleotides) under Setaria viridis. Its description in RNAcentral is "long non-coding RNA (SVIR_LNC008906)". The record is from RNAcentral. Lineage: Eukaryota; Viridiplantae; Streptophyta; Magnoliopsida; Poales; Poaceae.